GAUGAACGCUGGCGGCGUGCCUAACACAUGCAAGUCGUACGAGCUCGAUCUUCGGAACGGGUUAGUGGCGCACGGGUGAGUAACACGUAGGUGACCUACCCCAGAGUGGGGGAUAACUUCUCGAAAGAGAGGCUAAUACCGCAUACACUCGGUCAUUCAUUUGGCCGAGCAAAGCUCCGGCGCUUUGGGACGGGCCUGCGUCCGAUUAGCUAGUUGGUAGGGUAAUGGCUUACCAAGGCUUUGAUCGGUAGCUGGUCUGAGAGGACGAUCAGCCACACUGGCACUGACACACGGGCCAGACUCCUACGGGAGGCAGCAGUGAGGAAUAUUGGGCAAUGGGCGAAAGCCUGACCCAGCAACGCCGCGUGAGGGAUGAAGGCCUUCGGGUUGUAAACCUCUUUUCUGGGGAAGAGACAAGGACGGUAUCCCAGGAAUAAGUCUCGGCUAACUACGUGCCAGCAGCCGCGGUAAU
Molecule: ribosomal RNA, 472 nt
Filed under: uncultured bacterium
Lineage: Bacteria
Description: bacterial SSU rRNA
Rfam family: Bacterial small subunit ribosomal RNA
Source: RNAcentral